AUAUCGGUCCUUUUCAGGACCACAAACUAGAUUCAUGAGAUAAAAUU
Drosophila sechellia is the source of this 47-nucleotide non-coding RNA. The record is from Rfam. NCBI's taxonomy places the organism in Eukaryota, Metazoa, Arthropoda, Insecta, Diptera, Drosophilidae.